AAAGGUUCGUAGUGACCUGCGGAGGAUCAUUAAUGAAUUUUUGAAAUGGGGUUGUAGCUGGCUUUUAAUCGAGCAUGUGCACGCCCUAUUCAUCCAUUUCUAUAUACACCUGGUGCACCUUUUGUAGGUCGGUCGUUACGGGAAAAGCCUUUCGGUUUUUUCUUACACUUCCUUCCUAUGUUUUUAUUAUAAACUCUGUGAAUGKCUAUGAAUGUCUUUGCGUAAAUAAACGCAUCAUAAUAUAACUUUCAGCAACGGAUCUCUUGGCUCUCGCAUCGAUGAAGAACGCAGCGAAAUGCGAUAAGUAAUGUGAAUUGCAGAAUUCAGUGAAUCAUCGAAUCUUUGAACGCACCUUGCGCUCCUUGGUAUUCCGAGGAGCAUGCCUGUUUGAGUGUCAUGGAAUUAUCAAACCCCUUUACUUUAUUGUAAAGUGGGCUUGGAUUUGGAGGUUUAUUGCUGGCUGCAUUAAAUUGUUGGUCAGCUCCUCUUGAAUGCAUUAGCUUUGAGCCUUUAACGGGGUCGGCUUAUCGGUGUGAUAAAUUUUAUGCCGUGGUCGGUUUCGUGAAUAAAAAUCAAGCUUCUAAUCGUCCUUCUUAAUGGGACAAUACAUUUGACCUCUGACCUCAAAUCAGGGUAGGACUACCCGCUGAACUUAAGCAUAUCAAUAACGCGGAGGAAAAGAAACUAACAAGGAUUCCCCCSUAGUAACUGCGAGGUGAAGCGGGAAAAGCUCAAAUUUAAAAUCUGGCAGUCUUUGAUUGUCCCGAGUUGU
RNAcentral lists this ribosomal RNA (772 nucleotides) under Fibroporia radiculosa. Its description in RNAcentral is "eukaryotic LSU rRNA". The stretch from base 244 to 397 matches the Rfam family "5.8S ribosomal RNA". The record is from RNAcentral. Lineage: Eukaryota; Fungi; Basidiomycota; Agaricomycetes; Polyporales; Fibroporiaceae.